AAUCCCUAUUUGGAGCCUUGAGGAAGUCAUAGAGUUUUUGUGCCUCUUUGUAGCUUGUAGAUUGAAGCAUCUAGUGUUUUUGUCUCCUUGUUCGACCGAUACAUCUCUGCUCCUUUACUUCCAGUAGAAUUAUUCUUUUGAGAGAAGCUCUUGAGGUUCAGCUUCAUGCUCUGCUUCUUUAUUUAGAUUUUCUGGGUGGGGUUUCAGCUGCUGAAAUCUG
RNAcentral lists this long non-coding RNA (220 nucleotides) under Carica papaya (papaya). RNAcentral's name for it is "long non-coding RNA (CPAP_LNC003720)". The record is from RNAcentral. Lineage: Eukaryota; Viridiplantae; Streptophyta; Magnoliopsida; Brassicales; Caricaceae.